Molecule: long non-coding RNA, 654 nt
Filed under: Arachis ipaensis
Lineage: Eukaryota; Viridiplantae; Streptophyta; Magnoliopsida; Fabales; Fabaceae
Description: long non-coding RNA (AIPA_LNC002383)
Source: RNAcentral
GGGGAUGAGGAAGUUGACAUUGGGGACGAGAUGCCUAUGAGUACCUUUCCCCCUGUGGAGAUUGAAAAAGACAAAGAGGCAGCUGGAGGCCAUGCCAGCAGUAGUUCAAGUAGCUCCAGUAGUUCAAGCAGUGAUUCCUCAUCAUCGAGUGGUAUUAACCCCGUUUGUAGCUGUUAUCUGUUAUAACUAUCGGCUACGGAGUAAAAAUAACGAUAUAUUUUGAUUACUAUUUGCAGAUUCGGAUUCAGGUAGUUCCUCGGGGAGUGAUUCUGAAGCAGACAAUGGGCACUUGUAGCAGCCAUACAGGGCUUUUGUUACUAAUGCUCCAACAUGACCAAUGUGGGUGAGCUGAUGAAGGUGUUUGCUUGAUUGGGCAUGCCUUGAGCGUGCUGUUUUGAAAAAUUGGAGAGGUAUGUUCUGUUUAAUUUCAUGUCUGUAUAUAUUCUUUCAAUACUAAGGCUUAAGCCUCUGCUGGUCUAAAUCGGUGGUUGCCUUUCGGUUGCAGGUGCUGUGAACAUUGUUUUGUUGGUGCAGUUUGGGAGUAGCUGUUUGAUUGGGUGCUAAGUCCCUUUUCUCGAUGAUUUGUAUUGUGCGAACAGUUGUAAAAAUGAUUCUAGGAAAUUUUUAGGCCAAAAAAGGUAGUGAAAUGCCGUG